CUUGAUGCCUCGUUCCAGCACUCCCGUUUGCCUGACUUCUGCUCUCUGUGUACCGACCCACACCUGUCCACUGACCACCCUUGGUUAUGGGAGAGCCAGAGCCUCGCCCAGCAAGCUUCGGACGAAAGGUAGACUACACUCCGAGCUGGUCGCCAGUCAGUCGCAGGGCAGAUAUCGACAACAUCACUGAGCGGGAAUCGAUACCACGCUGCCCGCACCAAAGUCAGGUGUGUGUACUACUACAGCAUCAUUGACUAUACUGUAAAUCAUACCAGUGAAUCUAUUUUUGUUUCUCUAAGAUGUGUAUUUCUGGAAAAAAAGUUGUAAUUCCACCUUAAACUGUCAAAUGUUUUUAAAAGAAAUUUAAAAUCAAAGUGAGAAUGCUCUUUAACUUUUCAUGUUUAAUGGCCACGGUUUUUUUAAAAUCGAUUUUUAUGGUCUUUAUUUCGUCUUGGUCUUGUUGAUCUUAUUUUGGUCUUGGUGAGUUCUGGUCUUGGCCAAGUCUUAGUCUCUUCGAGUGUGGUCUUGAACACAACACUAAUAUGAUGUUUGAAAUGACUAUCGGCAUGGAAGGAAGAAGACAAGACUUGUUACUGGACAAUGAAAACUCACAGAAGGCAGACGAGGGAUAUGAUAUUUUUCACCUCAGUGUUGAAACCCUGCAUAUUUAUGGUUUGGCAUUUGUUAAUUUACACAACUGCGGAUUACAUUUUGGAAACCUAUUUGCUCCUUAUACUUUUAUUACUUGUUUUUUUUUUCGUGUCUCAAGCGAAAGCAACACCUAUUACUAUAUGAUAAUAUAUGUAAUGUUGUUGGCCUAAGACCACGAUUGCAUCAUUUUCAUUCAUUUUCUUUUUCAUUUGUGUCAAGUCAUUUUCAAAUGUUUUCUGGAAAAUAAAUGCAACAAAUCGCCUCAAUUUAAUUUUUGAGGAACAUGACCGGCCAGUCACCGUGGAAAUAAGUUAAGUUUUUUUAUGACCUUGGCAGUAAAUUAAAAGUGACUAGAAGGCUAACUACGUCUGUAUAACAAUUGGGUCUUAUCUUUUUUUCAACAAAUGUUUUUCCAAGUGUUUUAUAUUUCUAUUUUUGCAGAUUUUUUUGAAAAUAUUUGUUUUUUCUAUUUAUUAAAAGCUGUACAAUACGUG
Syngnathoides biaculeatus (alligator pipefish) is the source of this 1145-nucleotide long non-coding RNA. RefSeq lists it as uncharacterized. The record is from RefSeq and is a predicted model, not a curated record. NCBI's taxonomy places the organism in Eukaryota, Metazoa, Chordata, Actinopteri, Syngnathiformes, Syngnathidae. The transcript has 2 exons.